AUUGAACGCUGGCGGCAGGCCUAACACAUGCAAGUCGAACGAGUGGCGGACGGGUGAGUAAUGGCUGGGACACUGCCUGGUGGAGGGGGAUAACAACUGGAAACGGUAGCUAAUACCGCAUACCAUCAGAUGUGCCCACAUGAGAUUAGCUUGGUGGUGGGGUAACGGCUCACCAAGGCGACUAUCCCUAGCUGGUCUGAGAGGAUGACCAGCCACACUGGAACUGAGACACGGUCCAGACUCCUACGGGAGGCAGCAGUGGGGAAUAUUGCACAAUGGGCGCAAGCCUGAUGCAGCCAUGCCGCGUGUAUGAAGAAGGCCUUCGGGGUGGAAAGUACUGUCAGCUGGGAGGCGUUACCCGCAGAAGAAGCACCGGCUAACUCCGUGCCAGCAGCCGCGGUAAUUC
This 406-nucleotide ribosomal RNA is filed under the name uncultured bacterium. RNAcentral's name for it is "partial 16S ribosomal RNA". It matches the Rfam family "Bacterial small subunit ribosomal RNA", at positions 30 to 526 of the family's 1533-position model. The record is from RNAcentral.